This is a long non-coding RNA of Corvus hawaiiensis (hawaiian crow), 1734 nucleotides long. RefSeq lists it as uncharacterized. NCBI's taxonomy places the organism in Eukaryota, Metazoa, Chordata, Aves, Passeriformes, Corvidae. The record is from RefSeq and is a predicted model, not a curated record. The transcript is spliced from 5 exons.
ACAGCAGCAGAAAGUGGGUUGCUCAAGACACAGGUCACUGCACUGGAGGCCAGACACAGCCCAAUCUUCUUCCCUGAAAAGGAAAACUUUGUUCUGCUUGUCUAAACAGGAAUUGUCCAUCCCAUCCCUAACGUUCUUGGGACACACCACGGCAAGAAUAACAGCAUUUACCGACCUUCCUUUCCCUGCUGCUUUCCAAGCCGACGGAAGAGGGUUCAUCCCACACAGCGUCUCUGUUCCAGGAGCGGCUGCCGUGCCCCUCUGCGGGUACCUCAACCGACCGCGGGUGCAGCAGUGCCUGACCGCUGCCAAACGUCUGAUGCAAGGGCGGAGCACAUUCCCGGGAACAAAGCCGAGUUCGGUUUGGAACUCAAGGGUACCAAACCCCCCCGGCAAGCCCUCGCAGCCACAUCCUCGCUGCCACAACCUUGGCGGUCCCCGCCGCGAUUCCUCGCUCCCCGCCGGGACGCGGGCGCUCCCCGGGCGCUUAUCAGGAGCCACAGGCGGCCAGCAAGGAGCCCCGUGUCCCCGGACUACAGCUCCCAGCGUGUCCCGGGGCGACGCGAACUACAUCUCCCGCCGUGCCCGGGCGGGUGCUGUUGCGGUGUCCCUUGUCGCGGUGGGUGACAGUGCGGCUCAGGCUGGACAGGGGCCACGGCGGGGUGCGCUUGUGAUGGCCGAGGCGUCUGUGCCUUCUUGGGACGCAAAUUUCCCUCCAGGAGCUGCUGAUCAAAUAAGGUGAUGAUCAAAUUCCUAUGAGAAGUCCAACCAUCCAACGAAGCAGAUGUCAAAGGAGACUUAGCAGACCAAAAGCUCUUGGAACUCUAUGAAAAGCAAAGGAUAUUGAACACCAAAGUUCACUCUUAGGAUUUAUAAUUCAGUGGAUGCCUUUGCUGAUACACUGAUUAGGCAUUAUUUUUAAAAAGGCCUUGUCACACUGGUGUGUCAAGAUGCUGUAACUGUAUAAGGUUUCUUGUUCCUGUCUAUUUCAAUAGGGCAAAUACUGGAAUAAUUGUGCUUGAGUAGUGACAAGUAGAAAUUAUGUAUGUAAGAAGCUUGUGGAAGUAUAUCAACAAGAAAAGAAAUACUUAGAGACCACUUAAGAUCUCCUCACGGACCACAAUGAGGAAGAAUUGAUUUUAGCUAUAGUCCUUUCUUUACCACUGUGUAAGAUUUGGACAAUCCAUUAAACUGACAGAACAUGACAAAGAAUGUUAUUCCACAGAGAGGGUGCAACAUCAUGCUUUUUAAUUCCUAGAAGUCAAGCAUGGUCCCAAGUGCACAUUUACAUGCAGUGUGUGUGAGUCAGGUGUCCUUUGCCCCACUUGGCAAGUUCUAGGAGCCCGGCUAGCCCUCACAGGUCUGGUGAUUCCUUCCUCAGCUGACCCUGAAGCUUCAUCCCAGAAGGGAAGGUGGGAUUCCUACACAACCUGAACUCAAUUGCCUGUGCUUUGUGUACUGCAGUUCCACGCAGAUGAUGAGGACAGGCAAAGCUGCCACAGGGCAACGCUAGCUUUGACCCACCCAGCAAUCCCCAAGUCCCUGUCAGCACGGCCUUGCAGAAAUAAUCAUUUCACCACGAGGUGGAGCUGUUAACUGCAGUUAAUGAGGGUCCUGUUUCCGCUUUUUCAGUUUGUUGAUCUUUUCCACACUGGAAUUUCAGUAUGGGCUGCUGCUGCUCUCCUCUUUCUGUUCAUAGUGCUGGAGAACAAAUAAAGCUUUCAUUUUUUCUUC